Long non-coding RNA from Ceratitis capitata (Mediterranean fruit fly), 771 nucleotides. RefSeq lists it as uncharacterized. The record is from RefSeq and is a predicted model, not a curated record. The transcript has 3 exons. NCBI's taxonomy places the organism in Eukaryota, Metazoa, Arthropoda, Insecta, Diptera, Tephritidae.
AAAGAAUUUGUGUCGAUUUUAGGUGUUAAAGAAACCGAUUUAUCGGUUAAAUUGUCAGAAAUAAACCGAGCAGUAAUUUGGUGACAGAAUUGUGUGCAAACGGAAACUUAAUAAAAAUCCAUAUUUAUCGAGAGAAUAAUCGGGGAAAAUCAAUUGUGACGUCCUUAUGGCAAGAGUUAACAUCGUCCUUAAAUGCUACUGGUCCACCAAACAAAGAGUUAAGAGAUUGGAAAAAGGCAUGGACCGAGUGGAAAAGCGGUGUAAAAAGAAUUCAGCACACAACAAAGCUGAAGGACGGGCAACUGAUGGUGGACCCUGUACAAAGCAUACAUGCCGAGUUGUGGAGUGGACCAAGCGGUGGACGGUGUGGUGAGAAUAUCGUUUGGCCUCACAGAUGAUGCCUCUGACGAAACAGACGAUAUGCCGUCUACUUCAAGAAGAAGAAGAAGCGAAAUUCCACACACGCAUACAAAUAAAAGGCCAAGGACGGAAAAUAUUUCGUGGAAAAAGAGAAAUGCACAAAAAAAUUGAUGACCUAUUUAAAGCAGCAGUUUGAGGAAAAUAUAUCGGGCGAUAAAAAAUGGUAAUGAAUCGAUGGCUAGUGCUCUGAUACAAGAGAUUUAAAAAAGUCCUGCGAUUUGUUAACUGCCAUGCAAGAAAAAAAUUAAAUUAAAAAAAAGCUAGAACUUGAACUUUUAAAGUUCGAGCGUCAAAAACAAAAGUGAAGACUGUCCUGUACAAAUAGUUUAAUAAAGUGUUUUUAUGUGUUUU